This 577-nucleotide long non-coding RNA is filed under the name Capra hircus (goat). Its description in RNAcentral is "lncRNA (ENSCHIG00000007409.1)". Lineage: Eukaryota; Metazoa; Chordata; Mammalia; Artiodactyla; Bovidae. The record is from RNAcentral.
UGCUCAUCCUCUUCUUGUCUUGCAGACUAAGAAGCAGAAACUUUUACAGAAAGAAAAGAAAAAAAGAAGGCAGGUGGACAGGAACAAUUACAAGAGAUGAAGCUGGAGGCUUGAUGGAUUUUCAAUACCAGAUUCCAUUCCUUCCUGGGGCCCAGUCGUGGUGAAUACUCUAGAGAGCAGACUGGCAUGGACCUGCAGUUAAUCGAAGAGGAUAUUUAAUUUCUGUACUGUUGGAUGGGAAAGGAGAGAGAGCAGUAGGUAGGUAGGAAUAAUAUAUUUGGAAAUAAGUGAUGUAUCAAGUUCAUUGUCUAUGGAGUGAUUCUGACAUUGUGUACAUGUGAUCUGCUGUUUGGCAAAGGUACCCUUAUGGAAAAUCCAAUCACUACCAAUAGCUCUGCUUAAGGCUUAAAGUUUAUGAGACAUAUUAGCUCUUCUGGAGAUAGUCCAUCUUUAAUUGUCAUACACUAGAGCUGUUGCUAUGUUGUGGUUGUUUUGCAAAACUGAUGAUUGUGCUAAGAGUUGAGCUAAAGAACUACCAGAGUCACUCUCUACUGGAGUUAGGCAGAUUUCAUUCAUG